GGUAUUGAUAAAGGAACAGGGCCUUCCAUUGCUCUUUUCUAGGUGGGCAGCCUAUAGGAAAGGGGAUUUACAACAGUGGAAAGGAGCAGUAAAAGUGCUGUGGUUAACGCGAAUCACAUGCCCCCAGAACAGCCUGUGAGUCGACUAAAAAUGGAAAGAACACGAGUAUCGAAUUGUUGGGAAGUGAAUACAAAUUAGAUGACAACUGUUCAUGUCCCUCCAUUUCCUCUCACAUCCAACGAGGGCAGUAUUCUUCACUUCUACUUCCCAGAAACAGUAAGGAGAUUAAUUAGCACCUGUGAAGGUUUUGUACUAUCUUGGCUCAGAGAAAAGUAAUGGUGCCUUAUUCUUCGAGUAUUGUUUCAUUUGAAUCAUAAAUAGGGAAACUUAUUUUUUUAACUAAAAGUAUAACUUCUAAAAAUUACUGAAUUCAAGCAGGAUUAAAAAACGACUCUACUGGGUUUUCCACACUAUCAAAGACUUCUUUUGUCUUAACUAUUACUCUGGAGAAUGUCAGAUGCAACAUGGUUUCCUUUUUGUACAAAGGGAAAACAUACUGAAGCAUGAUUUUAAAAGAAUUUCAGAAGGAGCUGUAAAACAAAGUCACAUCGAACAUUGAGCACUGAUAUUAUUCUUUAGAGAGUUGAUGUCUAGGCUAAUGCACUGUGACCCGAGGAUUUGUUUUCAAGUUAGGGCAAUGGUUCUCAAACUUUAACAAUAGGACAUUUCAAAUAACCCAGAAAGACAGAUCCCCAGGGAAAUGCCUGACGAUUAUUUCCAAAUUCUUGACUAACCUGGGGCUUUCUCUCCCUUGGACUGCUGGAUGUCUCCUGCUGCUCAGGUGAUGUGAUUGCCCACAAGGUCCUGACGAGUCCUCUGUAAACAAAAUUCAAAGAAGAGGACUUGCUCAACACACCUGCCACAACUCACCUGCAGGGUCUAUCAAACUGAGUUCCUGAUUCAGUAAAUCCAGGGAGGGGACUGACGAUUUGAAUUUCUAACAAGCUCCAGGUGAACUGCUCUCUGAAGAUCAGAAUUUGAGAAAGACUAAAUUAGCCAGUUCAGUGGUUUCCAAACUGGAGUCUUUUAUCUACCCAGAGAAUUUUUUGUUUGUUUAAAUGCAGAUUCCCAAGUCUACCCUGAGUUUACAGAAUCAAAAUUUCCAGGGUGCAAGACUUAAUCACUUGCACUGCUUUUAAGCUCAGCAAGUAUAUCAGUCCAUUUUGUAUAUCAGUCCAUUUUGAUACUGCUAUGAAGAACUGCCCGCAACUAGGUAAUUUAUGAAGGAAAGAGGUUUAAUGGACUCACAGUUCAACAUGGCUGGGGAGGCCUCAAGAAAAGCAGUCAUGGCAGAAAAGGAAGCAAGACACCUUCCUCACAAGGAACAGGAAAGGAAAGCGCCCAGUGAAGGGGGAAGAGCCUCUUAUACAAUCAUCAGAUCUCGCGAGAACUCACUCACUAGAAACUUGCCAGGAAACCACCUCCAUGAUUCAAUUACUUCCACCUGGUCUCUCCCUUGACAUGUGGGAAUUAUGAGGAAGGCAAUUCAAGAUGAAAUAUUGGGUGGAGACACAGCCAAACAUCACCUUGGGGCACAGGCUCAAAAACAGUCCACAGGAUACCAUCACUGAGCUGGAAUACAACAUGGGGCAUCUGAAAAGAAGAACCAAAAUAGAUGCCUGGUCUUCAACUAAAUUACCUGUUCAUCUUUUUCCAGGAAACCUUGGAACACCAAGGAAUCAGCAGUCAAACGAGCUCAGUCUCUCAGAACACAUGUGGGGGAAUUGAGUAUUUCAACUUUUAGGUAGACAGUUUCUACAAGCUAAAUAGUGGAACGAAAGGAGCCAAAUAAAGAAGUUAUAAAA
Homo sapiens (human) is the source of this 1865-nucleotide long non-coding RNA. NCBI's taxonomy places the organism in Eukaryota, Metazoa, Chordata, Mammalia, Primates, Hominidae. The record is from Ensembl.